This 839-nucleotide long non-coding RNA is filed under the name Triticum aestivum (bread wheat). Its description in RNAcentral is "long non-coding RNA (TAES_LNC022762)". Lineage: Eukaryota; Viridiplantae; Streptophyta; Magnoliopsida; Poales; Poaceae. The record is from RNAcentral.
ACCUCUAAAAAAACAAAAAAAAUGCAUAGUAUAGUGGAGGGAACCUCUCCACACAGUAAAAUUGAACCUCUCCGUGGACAAAAGUGAACCUCUAGACAUAGUUUUUUUGGAAAGAACUGCAAGUAUUUUUUUAAUGCUUUUUAUGUUGUUUCACUCAUCACACAGACUAGCGAGCUGAAUUUUAGAAGAAGUAAACUUCUCGUGAUGUUUUUCUUUUUCUCGUUUUGCAAAAUGAACCACAAAGGAAUUUUACAAAGAACUACAUCCCGUGUAACAUAUUUUCUCUACAUAAAAGCCACUGCAAAUUUACACAUAUCAUCCUUUAACACAAGCAGUACACACAGGACACACCCAAACCUGCAUCCACAACCAGCCGAACUGCAUCGACGAUUGAGCAAAGCUGGACUGAAAGCACCUAUCUGCAAGAAAAGUAAUACCAAACCGCAAUGGAGCGCUACUGAGUUGCAUCACUGCCACGACUUCCCUGCUGCUCCCACCAAAGUUGUUGACAUCGCCGUCCUUCCUUGUGCCUACAAGUGAACCUCAAGAGACAUGCGUUUGAAGAAUUGAACCACACAUCAAAAAAUAAAGUGCAGAGUAUAUCAAAGAGCAAAAAAAAAUGCAUCUACAUAGAAACGCCCGGAGUAAUCUGACGUUCUCCCGGCGCCAAGGACUACCCCGCGGGGGUGAGGUGCACUACGCUGAGUAUUUGAAAGGACUUCAUGUCAGUAACCGCUCGCGGUUGGGAGAGAGCAGAGAGGUUCAGGGAAGGGUGGCGAGGGGCAGACGUGGUUACCGGCGUCGAUGGGAGGAGGGCUGCCGCGAGGGAUGCAUGGGGG